Molecule: signal recognition particle RNA, 92 nt
Filed under: pig gut metagenome
Description: Bacterial small signal recognition particle RNA
Rfam family: Bacterial small signal recognition particle RNA
About the family: The signal recognition particle (SRP) is a universally conserved ribonucleoprotein involved in the co-translational targeting of proteins to membranes.
Source: RNAcentral
UGGGUCUUACGCGAUAAGAAUCUACGAACCGUGUCAGGUUGGGAACAAAGCAGCACUAAGUAGAACCUCUUAUGCGCCGUGAGGGUGCCUGG